Molecule: ribosomal RNA, 227 nt
Filed under: uncultured bacterium
Lineage: Bacteria
Description: partial 16S ribosomal RNA
Rfam family: Bacterial small subunit ribosomal RNA
Source: RNAcentral
AGUAACGCGUGAGGAACCUGCCUCAAAGAGGGGGACAACAGUUGGAAACGACUGCUAAUACCGCAUAAGCCCACGGCUCGGCAUCGAGCAGAGGGAAAAGGAGCAAUCCGCUUUGAGAUGGCCUCGCGUCCGAUUAGCUAAUUGGUGAGGUAAUGGCCCACCAAGGCGACGAUCGGUAGCCGGACUGAGAGGUUGAACGGCCACAUUGGGACUGAGACACGGCCCAG